RNAcentral lists this long non-coding RNA (3376 nucleotides) under Sus scrofa (pig). RNAcentral describes it as "lncRNA (ENSSSCG00040026178.1)". Lineage: Eukaryota; Metazoa; Chordata; Mammalia; Artiodactyla; Suidae. The record is from RNAcentral.
UUUUCCGACCCCCACGCCCCUGGGAUGGUAAAGCUGCAGCCCACCUCGUCCUGGGGCAGAGUCUCCUUGCCUGCCUGCUUGCAUCGCUCACCAGCGUCCUAUCCUAACACCUCUGUUUCGUGCCCAUCACUUUGUCUCUCGCUGAAUUCCUUCUGCGUGGAGACAUAGAGAACCUCAACCUCAGUGAGUCCAGACGCAGGAGGAGAGCGUUUCCCAGACUCCUUGCCCCUGAGUGAGGAUACGUGCCUGGUUCUGGCCAAGGGGCUGUGGCUGAUACAGCAGGUGUCACUCUGAGUCAAAGCAAAGGAUGUGCAGACAUGAAGUCUCCACGCUCUCUCUUCUUCACCCCUUGUCUCAAGGUGUCAGAGGCACCAGCUUAUGAGGGAUGUAUGAUUGUCAGCACCUCCACUUUACAGAAGAGGACACCUGGGUAUGAUGAUAAGCUGCCCAAGGUCCCAUAUCUGGUGCUUCAUAAUCCUGGCAAAGCCACUAAGCUGAGCAGAGCUGCAGAAAUUCCCUGGCUUUCCUACUGGAAGAUGUCGAUCAAUGAGGGCGCUCGCGGCCUUUGAUGUUAGGCAUCCACGCCCGCUUCUGUAAAGACUUUCGGCUCCACAAGAGAACGGGAAGUCACUGUGAAGAAAGAGGCAGGCGAUGUAACCGGAAAAGCGCAGGUUUGAUGUCAAACAGACCUGCGUGGUUCCACCGCUUUCCGACUGUGUGACACCUCCCCCCCCCCACCACCGGUCCAGUUGCUCUCUGAACCCAAGUCUUGGAAAAUGGAACCAAUAAUACCUGUUCUUCAAGACUGUUCCUGCUGGAAGCUCCAAGAUUCAUCUGAAGGCGUGAUCACAUCCUCAAUGUUGAGUGGACUAUGAACCGGCUGCCAGAGACAGGGUUCCAAGCCGGGCCAGGCCCAUCCCAAUGCCCACCCGAAAAGACGGGACAGAGGAAAGAAAGAAACAAAAUCCUGGGGCUCCAUUGGCUUUCUUUUUGACUCCAGCUGAAGUUGCUGCAUAGUGUGGCCUUGCCAGUCCUCGCCUUGAAAAAUGAGCGGAGCUCCUUUCUUUAUGAACUUUGGUGACGUGGCAUUAUGAUGUUACGGCAGAAGAGAUUAAUAACAGCGCCUCGUUUCUGUUCCGCCACCAUUAGAGGGCUGGAAGCGACUGCCGUGAUGGAUCAUCUAAUCCCACAGCCUCAUUCUGCAGAGGACCCCGAGCCUCGACUUGGCCAAGGUCACACAGCUGGGCCACACCCAUGGCGUAUGGUUUUCACAUGGAAUCGGAGCUGCAGUUGCCGGCCUAUGCCACAGCCACAGCAAGGUAGGAUCUGAGCCAAGUCUUUGACCUACACCACAUCUCACGGCAAUUCCAGAUCCCUGGACCCACUGAGUGAGGCCAGGGAUUGAACACGCACCCUUAUGGAUACUAGUUGGAUCACAACGGAACUCCCUGAAAAAUCAAGGUCUUUAAAGCAAUUCAUCAACCCCACCAACAUCUUGGCAUAAGAAAAUUGAUUCUGUAAGUCAAAAGAACUUAUAACAUGGUAUAUUGGGAGGAUGGCAGGGCUUGGUAAGUGGUAGCAACGCAGCUGGUAGAUUUUUCUUUGUUGUGUCCUUGUCCUUACGCUCUUUUAGCCACAUUUUCAUUCAGGAUUCUUGGGUUGGAAGCAACAGAAAUGGACUCUUUUGGCCUUAAGCAAAAAGAAAAUUUGUUGAAAGGGCAUGGAGGAGUUCAUAGGAUUGACUAGAAGUUUGGAGAAGUAGGCUCAGGAGUCAAGGCAUUUAUAGAGGAGGGUAGGGUAGAGAGGUGAUAAAAAUAAUGCAACGGUCUUAUUUGGAAAUUGUACUGGAAUGUAAGAGUUUCAUCUUUCCUCCUCCCUCCCUCUCUCUCUCUUUCUGCCACUUCAUUCGAGAUUCCAAUUUCAGCGAAGGAGCAUCCAAUUGGCCUGUCUUGGUCAGAUUCCCACCACCCCCAUGGUUAGGGGAACACAGCAUAUUCGAAAUGGCAUUCCCACGAGGUACAUUCCAUGGAAAAGUAAUACCACAAAGAAAAUAUGGACACAGUUAUCAAAGGAAGAUAAAACAGGUGCUGGGUAGCCAACAAUAGCCUAUUUCCACUAUAUCCUUUAAAAAAAAUCCCAGUAACUCUUCUAUGAUUACUGAUUUUUCAGGAGAGAAAUUUAACAAUGGAAGAGUGUAUACAUAGUGAUGAAAAGAAUGGGAGGAUUUAUAAGAUACAAGUCAUUUUCUUUGAGUUGUGGGACAAUGGUUGGGUCCAUUUUUCUUCUGUUGUUUUUUCCUAUAGAGCACAUUUAUAACCUUUUAAAAGUAAACUAUAUUUUCUACUUUAAGAUGAGUGAAAUGAGGGGGGAGUGUCCCUUUUGACUGGGGACAUAGUCACUAGUUACUCUAUGUUAAUAACAGAAGCAUACGUUCCUCUCGAGGGGCAACAGUGUUCUUAUACAUUAAACUCUCAACAGAAACCAAAAGAACCACCACCAAAAAAAUCCCACCCAGUUUGGAAAGGACUUGUGCUUGUGGGUCGGGGGCAGAAGGAAGCAAUUUCCCUCCAUUUUCUGCCUGAGCAGGCCUUUUGCACUUUGAUAUUCGUUUCACUAAUAAGGUGUUUCAUUAUUUCUCCCACAAAAAGAGCUGGUGCUGUUAUGAGAUGCUGUUGAAGACUCUGGUUUGCCCAGAUGUGCCGCAGUGAAAACAGCCUUUCUCUGACGUGCAUGACUUGUGAGGAUGAUGGGACCUGUGGGAAGAGGGGAUCCUUUUUCAGAGUUUGGAAAGAGAGACAAAAUAACGCCGUCUGCCCUGCAUGGCUGACAGAAACACAUUCUUCCCUAAUCAGUGGGUCACUCACUUCCGCACUAUGUUGCAGGGAAGCAUCAUCUGAUUCCAAGCCUAAGGCUGGGUCAUCCGCGGCACUGACUUCUCCCGACCCUUCUCCGAGCUUCCUGUGCCAGUUUUCAUCAUCAAAUUUCUCUGCUCCCUUAGACCAGCGGAAAAGAAGUUAUGAGCUCUCUCCAUCAUUCGCCGGUCUCUUCGGCCCUUCCUCCUUUGAAGUUUUCUUAUUCGGGGUCUUUUUUCGCUUCUUCUCCAUGUUUCAUCCUCUCUCACUGUAACCUUUUUAUCUCUGGAGAGUUCUCUCUGUGCCUCUGGGCCCUUCUCUUUCUAGUUGGUUCUCAGAACCCAUUCUGGGAUUCUAUUUCAGUCCAUCCGUCUCUCCAACAGACCACGGGUGAAACCAGGGCCGGUAAUCAGUCCCAGCUGCUGGAGGCGUCCGCUCUGGGUCGGCCCCACGUUUGUGGGCUGAUGUUUUGCUUCCCAUAAUGCUCUGGGAGUACUGCUGCUCAGAGCUUGGCUUGUGCUUUU